ACUUGCUUUCUUUGCUGGCGACCGGCGCACGGGUGAGUAACACGUAUCCAACCUGCCCUUUACUCGGGGAUAGCCUUUCGAAAGAAAGAUUAAUACCCGGUAGCAUAAUGAUUCCGCAUGGUUUCAUUAUUAAAGGAUUCCGGUAAAGGAUGGGGAUGCGUUCCAUUAGGUUGUUGGUGGGGUAACGGCCCACCAAGCCUUCGAUGGAUAGGGGUUCUGAGAGGAAGGUCCCCCACAUUGGAACUGAGACACGGUCCAA
Molecule: ribosomal RNA, 259 nt
Filed under: uncultured bacterium
Lineage: Bacteria
Description: partial 16S ribosomal RNA
Rfam family: Bacterial small subunit ribosomal RNA
Source: RNAcentral